This 446-nucleotide ribosomal RNA is filed under the name uncultured bacterium. Its description in RNAcentral is "partial 16S ribosomal RNA". It matches the Rfam family "Bacterial small subunit ribosomal RNA", at positions 338 to 795 of the family's 1533-position model. The record is from RNAcentral.
CCUACGGGAGGCAGCAGUCGAGAAUCAUUCACAAUGGGGGAAACCCUGAUGGUGCGACGCCGCGUGGGGGAAUGAAGGUCUUCGGAUUGUAAACCCCUGUCAUGUGGGAGCAAAUUAAAAAGAUAGUACCACAAGAGGAAGAGACGGCUAACUCUGUGCCAGCAGCCGCGGUAAUACAGAGGUCUCAAGCGUUGUUCGGAAUCACUGGGCGUAAUGCGUGCGUAGGCUGUUUCGUAAGUCGUGUGUGAAAGGCGCGGGCUUAACCCGCGGACGGCACAUGAUACUGCGAGACUAGAGUAAUGGAGGGGGAACCGGAAUUCUCGGUGUAGCAGUGAAAUGCGUAGAUAUCGAGAGGAACACUCGUGGCGAAGGCGGGUUCCUGGACAUUAACUGACGCUGAGGCACGAAGGCCAGGGGAGCGAAAGGGAUUAGAUACCCCUGUAGUC